AGUUUAGGCCCAGACACGGCCAGUGACGUCAGACUGAACAACCGGAUAGAGCGGGAAAGGGUGACAUCGUUCGUGGGCGGAGUCUGUGCAGCAGAGAUGUCACGUAGGAUCUCCUCUGCCCCGCCCACAUGUGGCACAGAUGUGCUGAGACAAGGUGUGUACCUGUCCAUGCAGUCUGCCUUUGAAAACCACAGCAGCUCAGCCAGGAAGUGUUAGAGCUGGUGAACUUACAGGGCAGGGUCACAGAGAGCUGAGGUUCACGCCCCCUCCUGUCUUUAACAUCAGCACAAAGUAAACUGCAGAGGAGCUUCGUGUCAUUAGCGUGAGAGAUAACAGCGUGUUUAAGGCAGAGGAUUCAUCAGCCGUCCCCCAUUCACGUGUUUAACAGGAGCGAUGGCAAAAACAACAUUUCCCAGAAGUCCUCGCUCCAUCUGUCUCCUGCUCCAUGCAGCAGGAGUUAAGCAGGAAAAAUAUUCAUGCAAGGAGAGAAAGCAGCUCGUGGUUUUGUCUGUUACCCUCGAGGCCGUCUGCUGGCAUGCUGUCUGCGACUGACGCCUUCAG
Oreochromis niloticus (Nile tilapia) is the source of this 561-nucleotide long non-coding RNA. RefSeq lists it as uncharacterized. The record is from RefSeq and is a predicted model, not a curated record. Lineage: Eukaryota; Metazoa; Chordata; Actinopteri; Cichliformes; Cichlidae. The transcript is spliced from 3 exons.